GCUGGGCAUGGUGGUGGAUGCCUGUAAUCCCAGCUACUCAGGAGGCUGAGGCAUAAGAAUCACUUGAACCUGGGAGGCAGAGGUUGCAGUGAGCUGAGAUCGUGCCACUGCACUCUAGCCUGGGCAACAAAGUGAGACUCUGCCUCAA
Molecule: non-coding RNA, 148 nt
Filed under: Nomascus leucogenys (northern white-cheeked gibbon)
Lineage: Eukaryota; Metazoa; Chordata; Mammalia; Primates; Hylobatidae
Source: Rfam by way of RNAcentral